Molecule: long non-coding RNA, 517 nt
Organism: Triticum dicoccoides
Lineage: Eukaryota; Viridiplantae; Streptophyta; Magnoliopsida; Poales; Poaceae
Exons: 3
Source: RefSeq, a predicted model, not a curated record
UGUUGUAGUUUGGCCCAGUGGAGGAGGCUGCGAGGGAAAUCACCGAGUCAUGUACUGAGUGAGUUAUUAGAUCUGACAUCUAGAGAAUACAAAUAGCAGCCGACGACCAUGAGAUGCUGGCCUUCUCAUUGUUCUUGCUGUCAGGCUACCACUAACUGUUUGUUGAGCAGCUCACUUGUGCUAGCAAGACGCCAUGGAUUUUCUUAUAACAAAUCCUGCUAUUAAGUUACAGAUGAAGCAAGGUCAGAAGUGAUUUUGCGCCAAUUCUUCCAACGUCGCUUUAUCGGGUGUCGAGUGUGCUUACGCGUGAAUUUGUGGGGCGUCGAGUGAAGCGGCUGGACGUGGCUUUUCGUCUGGACGUUGAGUUGCGUGUGGCGUGUUCAAGUCGCCGUGGUCGUUGGCUUGUAAUUGUUUGAUGGGUACUUUUGCAGCCAUGUGUACUUAUUUAUAUAUGGGUUUAGGUGUCUUGGUUUGUGGUGGCUGGGACCGGCUGGAAAUCAGAUGCCUACACCGUGUG